AGAGUUCGUCAGGGCCUCUCCCUCUUGAUUCAGGUUCAACCCCUAAAAUCAUUUUAGCACACAGACACUGCUAGUGAAUUAUACAAUACCCACGACCUCACACUCGUGUCUUAAACACGUACAAUAUAUUGCGCUACAAUUUAACACUGGUUCCUAAAUAGGAACCUACACUUUCUCUUUAACACUGGUUCCUAAAUAGGAACCUACACUUUCUCUUUAACACUGCGCAUUUACACUUUUCUCAAGAUAACACUGGUCGGGUUAUUGUACAAUUCACAUCUUACAACACAAAUAAUGUCACAUCAAGAGUUAAUCACACACUUAUUCACAACCAAAACUAAUUCACAAUUUCACAUCUCAUAAUGUCACAAUCCACCAUCACAUGUUUUCACGUAUUUCAACGUUCAACACCUAUUCUACUUUACACUUUUACUCAAUCUCAAUAAUAAUAUUAUAAUCUCAAGGCAACAUAUUAUUCCACAAUUCAUCACAUAUUUCAUUUAUAAGCACUGCUAAUGAAUUAUACAAUACCACGACCUCACACUCAUGUUUCAAGCAUGUUUAACACAAUUGCGCUACAAUUUAACACUGAUUCCUAACUAAGAACCUACACUUUCUCUUUAACACUGCGCAUAAACACUGGUCGGGUUAUUGUAUAAUUCAUAGCUCACGAUAUAAUUAAUGUAACAUCAAGUGUUAACACAUCCACUUAUUCACAAUCGAAUAUCAUGUCCACACUUUAACAUCUCAUAACAUCACAUCAACCAUCUCAUAAC
This 776-nucleotide long non-coding RNA is filed under the name Glycine max (soybean). Its description in RNAcentral is "long non-coding RNA (GMAX_LNC002244)". Lineage: Eukaryota; Viridiplantae; Streptophyta; Magnoliopsida; Fabales; Fabaceae. The record is from RNAcentral.